Molecule: ribosomal RNA, 497 nt
Filed under: uncultured bacterium
Lineage: Bacteria
Description: partial 16S ribosomal RNA
Rfam family: Bacterial small subunit ribosomal RNA
Source: RNAcentral
GAUGAACGCUGGCGGCGUGCCUAAUACAUGCAAGUCGAGCGAACAGACGAGGAGCUUGCUCCUCUGACGUUAGCGGCGGAUGGGUGAGUAACACGUGGAUAACCUACCUAUAAGACUGGGAUAACUUCGGGAAACCGGAGCUAAUACCGGAUAAUAUUUUGAACCGCAUGGUUCAAUAGUGAAAGACGGUUUUGCUGUCACUUAUAGAUGGAUCCGCGCCGCAUUAGCUAGUUGGUAAGGUAACGGCUUACCAAGGCAACGAUGCGUAGCCGACCUGAGAGGGUGAUCGGCCACACUGGAACUGAGACACGGUCCAGACUCCUACGGGAGGCAGCAGUAGGGAAUCUUCCGCAAUGGGCGAAAGCCUGACGGAGCAACGCCGCGUGAGUGAUGAAGGUCUUCGGAUCGUAAAACUCUGUUAUUAGGGAAGAACAAAUGUGUAAGUAACUAUGCACGUCUUGACGGUACCUAAUCAGAAAGCCACGGCUAACUACGUG